This 456-nucleotide ribosomal RNA is filed under the name uncultured Bacteroidota bacterium. Its description in RNAcentral is "bacterial SSU rRNA". It matches the Rfam family "Bacterial small subunit ribosomal RNA", at positions 340 to 793 of the family's 1533-position model. Lineage: Bacteria; Pseudomonadati; Bacteroidota. The record is from RNAcentral.
UACGGGAGGCAGCAGUAAGGAAUAUUGGUCAAUGGACGCAAGUCUGAACCAGCCAUGCCGCGUGAAGGAUGAAGGUCCUCUGGAUUGUAAACUUCUUUUAUUUGGGAAGAAACCCAUUUUUUCUAGAGUGGUUGACGGUACCAGAUGAAUAAGCACCGGCUAACUCCGUGCCAGCAGCCGCGGUAAUACGGAGGGUGCAAGCGUUAUCCGGAUUCACUGGGUUUAAAGGGUGCGUAGGUGGGCAGGUAAGUCAGUGGUGAAAUCUCCGGGCUUAACCCGGAAACUGCCAUUGAUACUAUCUGUCUUGAAUACCGUGGAGGUGAGCGGAAUAUGUCAUGUAGCGGUGAAAUGCUUAGAUAUGACAUAGAACACCAAUUGCGAAGGCAGCUCACUACGCGAAUAUUGACACUGAGGCACGAAAGCGUGGGGAUCAAACAGGAUUAGAUACCCUGGUAG